This 270-nucleotide ribosomal RNA is filed under the name Triticum aestivum (bread wheat). RNAcentral's name for it is "partial small subunit ribosomal RNA". Lineage: Eukaryota; Viridiplantae; Streptophyta; Magnoliopsida; Poales; Poaceae. The record is from RNAcentral.
AUGGCGUUGUCAACGAACGGCUGCGAUUAUUUCCAUGUGGAAACCCCCCUGUCUCAGGAACUGUGCAUCCAGGCUGGUGACGCUCUGGAUUUGGGUAAAAAUAUCGUGUAUAGUGCAUCUUACAGGCUCAAGCGGCCAAGUGAAAUUUCCGUGAAUACGACGGAGCAGAUGGUUCGGAUCUAUGCUUCCACCUUCAUGAAAACCGCCGAGGACGUCUACCAUGGGAAGACCAACACGGCAACCCUCUGUUAUUAUUCGUCGACACUCUAG